CCCAGACUCCUACGGGAGGCAGCAGUGGGGAAUAUUGGACAAUGGGGGGAACCCUGAUCCAGCGACGCCGCGUGAGUGGAGAAGUAUCUCGGUAUGUAAAGCUCUAUCAGCAGGGAAGAAAGAAAUGACGGUACCUGACUAAGAAGCCCCGGCUAACUACGUGCCAGCAGCCGCGGUAAUACGUAGGGGGCAAGCGUUAUCCGGAUUUACUGGGUGUAAAGGGGGCGCAGACGGCGAUGCAAGCCAGGAGUGAAAGCCCGGGGCCCAACCCCGGGACUGCUCUUGGAACUGUAAGGCUAGAGUGUCGGAGAGGCAGGCGGAAUUCCUAGUGUAGCGGUGAAAUGCGUAGAUAUUAGGAGGAACACCAGUGGCGAAGGCGGCCUGCUGGACGAUGACUGACGUUGAGGCUCGAAAGCGUGGGGAGCAAACAGGAUUAGAUACCCUAGUAUAG
Molecule: ribosomal RNA, 451 nt
Filed under: uncultured bacterium
Lineage: Bacteria
Description: bacterial SSU rRNA
Rfam family: Bacterial small subunit ribosomal RNA
Source: RNAcentral